Molecule: small nucleolar RNA, 138 nt
Organism: Ornithorhynchus anatinus (platypus)
Lineage: Eukaryota; Metazoa; Chordata; Mammalia; Monotremata; Ornithorhynchidae
Source: RefSeq, a predicted model, not a curated record
CCCCUCUCAGGGUUAUACUUGGAGAGUUUCCAGUACUCUACCAGUCUCGACCUCAGGAGGGAGAGUCAAGCAGAGGUAUAUGCAUUCCAUUCCUAGCGUGGCCAGUGGCUAGCGAAUGGAAGACAAUCUGCUACAAGU